GAUGAACGCUGGCGGCGUGCCUAAUACAUGCAAGUCGAACGAAACUUCUGUAUCACCUAGCGCUUGCACUCGCCGAGAGAGAGUUGAGUGGCGAACGGUUGAGUAACACGUGGGCAACGGGCGCUAACGAGGGGGAAUACACUCGGAAACAGGUUCUAAUACCGCAGAACCAUCGUGAGCGCAUGGUACCUAUGUGUAAGGUGGCUGUACUACCACGUUUGGAUGGGCCCGGGGCGAAUUAGCUAGUUGGGCGGGUAAAGGCAUACCAAGGGAAGGAUGCGUAGCCGAAAUGAGAGGGUGAUCGGCCACAUUGGGACUGAGACAAGGCACACACUCCUACGGGAGGAAGCAGUAGGGAAUCUUACACAAUGGGCGAAAGCCUGAUGGAGCAACGCCGCGUGGGUGAAGAAGGACUUCGGCUCGUAAAGCCAUGUUGUUAGAGAAGAAAGAGAGCUCGAUUACCCGUUAACGUUAUGACGGUACCUAAAGAGAAAGCCCCGGCUAACUCCGUG
Molecule: ribosomal RNA, 512 nt
Filed under: uncultured bacterium
Lineage: Bacteria
Description: partial 16S ribosomal RNA
Rfam family: Bacterial small subunit ribosomal RNA
Source: RNAcentral